AGAGGAAGAAUCCCAGCUAGCCUAUGGAUG
RNAcentral lists this non-coding RNA (30 nucleotides) under Homo sapiens (human). Lineage: Eukaryota; Metazoa; Chordata; Mammalia; Primates; Hominidae. The record is from RNAcentral.